UGGGGAAUAUUGCACAAUGGGGGAAACCCUGAUGCAGCGACGCCGCGUGAAGGAAGAAGUUUUCGGUAUGUAAACUUCCUAUCAGCAGGGAAGAUAAUGACGGUACCUGACUAAGAAGCCCCGGCUAA
RNAcentral lists this ribosomal RNA (128 nucleotides) under uncultured bacterium. RNAcentral describes it as "partial 16S rRNA". It matches the Rfam family "Bacterial small subunit ribosomal RNA", at positions 355 to 500 of the family's 1533-position model. The record is from RNAcentral.